UACAAAUAUGGGCCCCUGGAAAAUGAACGA
This 30-nucleotide non-coding RNA is filed under the name Mus musculus (house mouse). Lineage: Eukaryota; Metazoa; Chordata; Mammalia; Rodentia; Muridae. The record is from RNAcentral.